UUGUACACAUGAGAUCUUCGAGGUAGAACGUUUCAGACUUUAGUGUGGAAUGAAACGACUCAUUGGGGCAUUAUCAUUAG
Molecule: unclassified non-coding RNA, 80 nt
Filed under: Paenibacillus sp. OK076
Lineage: Bacteria; Bacillati; Bacillota; Bacilli; Caryophanales; Paenibacillaceae
Source: RNAcentral